UACGUAGGGGCCAAGCGUUGUCCGGAGUUACUGGGCGUAAAGGGCGCGCAGGCGGUUGGUUACGUCGUGUGUGAAAGCCCCCGGCUCAACCGGGGAGGGUCGCGCGAAACGGGCCGACUGGAGGCAAGGCGAGGGCGGUGGAAUUCCCGGUGUAGUGGUGAAAUGCGUAGAGAUCGGGAGGAACACCAGAGGCGAAGGCGGCCGCCUGGACUUGACCUGACGCUGAGGCGCGAAGGCGUGGGGAGCGAACGGG
This 253-nucleotide ribosomal RNA is filed under the name uncultured bacterium. RNAcentral describes it as "partial 16S ribosomal RNA". It matches the Rfam family "Bacterial small subunit ribosomal RNA", at positions 524 to 776 of the family's 1533-position model. The record is from RNAcentral.